CGAGUUUAAAUAGAUGCAGUAAUCAGUUUAAUCACAUGUAGUUGUCAGUCUUUAAUAAAAAAAUAAGUAUAGUUACCGAAUUUAAUAGAAAAAAGUGUACCUGUUAGCUUUAAUCUAGGAGGCAUAGAAUUGGUUACAAAUUAAAUAUCAGGUCUUUUGGGCUAGCUACUAAUGAUCUCACGUUGAGUUUCAAUAACUAGAGUAGGAAAAA
Molecule: long non-coding RNA, 211 nt
Filed under: Hordeum vulgare
Lineage: Eukaryota; Viridiplantae; Streptophyta; Magnoliopsida; Poales; Poaceae
Description: long non-coding RNA (HVUL_LNC000152)
Source: RNAcentral